This 229-nucleotide ribosomal RNA is filed under the name uncultured bacterium. RNAcentral describes it as "partial 16S ribosomal RNA". It matches the Rfam family "Bacterial small subunit ribosomal RNA", at positions 568 to 796 of the family's 1533-position model. The record is from RNAcentral.
UCCGUAGGCGGACAGUUAAGUCAGGGGUGAAAGUUUACGGCUCAACCGUAAAAUUGCCUCUGAUACUGAUUGUCUUGAAUUAGUGUGAAGUGGUUAGAAUGAGUAGUGUAGCGGUGAAAUGCAUAGAGAUUACUCAGAAUACCGAUUGCGAAGGCAGAUCACUAACACUAUAUUGACGCUGAGGGACGAAAGCGUGGGGAGCGAACAGGAUUAGAUACCCUGGUAGUCC